UUUCUCUUAAGCGGAUACUCUGCAAGGAUCUCAGACAACACACGGCUGUAUUCAGAAAGUGAUGAUAUGAAACUCAUGGUUGAUCGAGUCAGCUUGUGAAUCCCUCCUCCUGCAGUAAGUGCUUUCGAAGAAUCCUUCUGUAAUGUCGACUCAAAUUCCGUGAGACUUGUGUGGAUUGAUUCCUUGAGUUUCUUCAGCGAUGAGAGCACCAGAGUUUUGACAGCAGCUACUGAAUCAAAAUGGAAUAUCAGUUCUAUGUCUGGCCUAAGGUCAGAGAUUGCUGCAUAGAGGUCCAUCAGCCUGAAGAUCCUC
This 312-nucleotide long non-coding RNA is filed under the name Capsella rubella. RNAcentral describes it as "long non-coding RNA (CRUB_LNC003371)". The record is from RNAcentral. Lineage: Eukaryota; Viridiplantae; Streptophyta; Magnoliopsida; Brassicales; Brassicaceae.